CACACCAGCUACCCCACACACUAUAGCUCCCAAAUAAAAAUCCAAAUCUCAACAACCAACAACCUCACUCCCUACCUCAUCUGAACCAAUACCUUAUAUACCAAUCCUUUCUGAACCAAACCCAUCAGAACCCACAACCUCUGACCUCAUCCCUCUCAGAACCAUCACACCUUCAUCUUUAUUACAUCUCUUCAACCUUCAAACAACAUUCAUCCCCCACUCUGAAGCCAUCAUGUUCA
This 239-nucleotide long non-coding RNA is filed under the name Lathyrus oleraceus (garden pea). RNAcentral's name for it is "Pisum sativum (pea) long non-coding RNA (PSAT_LNC030092)". The record is from RNAcentral. Lineage: Eukaryota; Viridiplantae; Streptophyta; Magnoliopsida; Fabales; Fabaceae.